GCUGUCGUGGCCGAGUGGUUAUGGCGACGGACAAGAAAUCUGUCGGGAUCUUCCCGCUAAGGUUCGAAUCCUGACGACAUGGCA
This 84-nucleotide transfer RNA is filed under the name Dreissena polymorpha. Its description in RNAcentral is "tRNA-Ser". It matches the Rfam family "tRNA". From Rfam's summary of the family: Transfer RNA (tRNA) molecules are approximately 80 nucleotides in length. Their secondary structure includes four short double-helical elements and three loops (D, anti-codon, and T loops). Lineage: Eukaryota; Metazoa; Mollusca; Bivalvia; Myida; Dreissenidae. The record is from RNAcentral.